Molecule: ribosomal RNA, 49 nt
Filed under: Ocellularia microsorediata
Lineage: Eukaryota; Fungi; Ascomycota; Lecanoromycetes; Ostropales; Graphidaceae
Description: partial 18S ribosomal RNA
Source: RNAcentral
AUGAGUAUUAAAUGCUAACUGUUAUGUGAACCUGCGGAGGGAUCAUUAU